Molecule: unclassified non-coding RNA, 262 nt
Filed under: Hevea brasiliensis (rubber tree)
Lineage: Eukaryota; Viridiplantae; Streptophyta; Magnoliopsida; Malpighiales; Euphorbiaceae
Source: RNAcentral
AGCAGAGUGAAAGUGUCAAGUCAACACUCAGCUGUGUUGCAGAGGAGAGAAAAUGGAAGGAAGCUCAAAGAGGAUUAACGCUAAUGGAAGCAAGAACGAGAAGGAUCUUUUUCACGUCAUUCACAAAGUUCCCUGUGGCGAUGGUCCUUAUGUUAGAGCCAAGCAUGCUCAGCUGGUUGAAAAGGAUCUAGAAACGGCAAUAGUGUGGUUUUGGAAGGCAAUAAAUGCAGGAGAUAGAGUAGAUAGUGCACUAAAAGACAAG